Molecule: ribosomal RNA, 394 nt
Filed under: uncultured bacterium
Lineage: Bacteria
Description: partial 16S ribosomal RNA
Rfam family: Bacterial small subunit ribosomal RNA
Source: RNAcentral
CCUACGGGUGGCAGCAGUGAGGAAUAUUGGUCAAUGGGCGCGAGUCUGAACCAGCCAUGCCGCGUGCAGGAAGACUGCUCUACGGGUUGUAAACUUCUUUUAUAAGGGAGUAAAGUGAGGCACGCGUGCCUUUUUGAAUGUACUGUACGAAUAAGGAUCGGCUAACUCCGUGCCAGCAGCCGCGGUAAUACGGAGGAUUCGAGCGUUAUCCGGAUUUAUUGGGUUUAAAGGGAGGGUAGAGGGGUUGUUAAGUCAGUUGUGAAAGUUUGCGGCUCAACCUUCACCUCGCAUUUGAUACUGGCGUUCUUGAGUACAGUAGAGGUAUGCGGAAUGCGUGGUGUAGCGGUGAAAUGCAUAGAUAUCACGAAGAACUCCGAUUGCGAAGGCAGCAUAC